AUUGAACGCUGGCGGCAGGCUUAACACAUGCAAGUCGAGCGGGCAUAGCAAUAUGUCAGCGGCAGACGGGUGAGUAACGCGUGGGAACGUACCUUUUGGUUCGGAACAACUGAGGGAAACUUCAGCUAAUACCGGAUAAGCCCUUACGGGGAAAGAUUCAUCGCCGAAAGAUCGGCCCGCGUCUGAUUAGCUAGUUGGUGAGGUAAUGGCUCACCAAGGCGACGAUCAGUAGCUGGUCUGAGAGGAUGAUCAGCCACAUUGGGACUGAGACACGGCCCAAACUCCUACGGGAGGCAGCAGUGGGGAAUAUUGGACAAUGGGCGCAAGCCUGAUCCAGCCAUGCCGCGUGAGUGAUGAAGGCCCUAGGGUUGUAAAGCUCUUUUGUGCGGGAAGAUAAUGACGGUACCGCAAGAAUAAGCCCCGGCUAACUUCGUGCCAGCAGCCGCAGUAA
Molecule: ribosomal RNA, 451 nt
Filed under: uncultured bacterium
Lineage: Bacteria
Description: partial 16S ribosomal RNA
Rfam family: Bacterial small subunit ribosomal RNA
Source: RNAcentral